RNAcentral lists this ribosomal RNA (222 nucleotides) under uncultured bacterium. Its description in RNAcentral is "partial 16S ribosomal RNA". It matches the Rfam family "Bacterial small subunit ribosomal RNA", at positions 96 to 334 of the family's 1533-position model. The record is from RNAcentral.
UGGCGGACGGGUGAGUAACACGUAAGAAUUUGCCUUUAGGAGGGGGAUAACAACUGGAAACGGUUGCUAAUACCCCAUAUGCUUUCGAGUAAAAUGGAUUUUCCGCCUAAAGAGAAGCUUGCGGCUGAUUAGCUUGUUGGUGAGGUAAUGGCUCACCAAGGCGACGAUCAGUAUCUGGUUUGAGAGGACGAUCAGACACACUGGAACUGAGACACGGUCCAG